RNAcentral lists this small nuclear RNA (109 nucleotides) under Mustela putorius furo (domestic ferret). Lineage: Eukaryota; Metazoa; Chordata; Mammalia; Carnivora; Mustelidae. The record is from RNAcentral.
GUGGUCUUUUUGGCAGCACAUAUAUUAAAAUUAGAAUGAUAGAAGAUUAGCGUGCCCACCCUCUCCUGCCAAUGAUGACAUGCAAAUUUGUGAUGCAUUCUAUAUUUAA